CUAGCAAAUCCCAUAAACCGUGGCUCAGUUCAGAUCGUAGGCUGCAACUCGCCUACGUGAAGUAGGAAUCGCUAGUAAUCGCAGGUCAGCAUACUGCGGUGAAUACGUUCCCGGGCCUUGUACACACCGCCCGUCACACCAUGGAAGUUGGCCACGCCCGAAGUCGUUACUUUAACCCUUGUGGAGAAGGACGCCGAAGGUGGGGCUGAUGACUGGGGUGAAGUCGUAACAAGGUAGCCGUACCGGAAGGUGCGGCUGGAUCACCUCCUAA
RNAcentral lists this ribosomal RNA (271 nucleotides) under Prochlorococcus marinus str. NATL2A. RNAcentral describes it as "partial 16S ribosomal RNA". It matches the Rfam family "Bacterial small subunit ribosomal RNA", at positions 1264 to 1533 of the family's 1533-position model. The record is from RNAcentral. Lineage: Bacteria; Bacillati; Cyanobacteriota; Cyanophyceae; Synechococcales; Prochlorococcaceae.